UAAGCGGUGGANAAGACUNNCAACGAUUCCCCUAGUAGCGGCGAGCGAACCGGGAGAAGCCCAGCUUGAAAAUCGCGUCGUUUCGGGGACGCGAGUUGUAGUCUGGAGAAGUGUCCUCUGCGGCGGACCCGGCUUAAGUCCCUGGAAAGGGGCGUCAGAGAGGGUGAGAACCCCGUCGGGCCGGGACCCUGCCGCUCCACGAGGCGCUGUCGACGAGUCGGGCUGUUUGGGAAUGCAGCCCUAAGCGGGAGGUAAAUUCCUUCCAAGGCUAAAUNCAGGCGGGAGACCGAUAGCGAACAAGUACCGCGAGGGAAAGAUGAAAAGGACUUUGAAAAGAGAGUUAAAAAGUGCUUGAAAUUGCUGGGAGGGAAGCGAAUGGAGCCUCGUGUGCGCCCCGGUCGGAUGCNGAACGGCGAGAGCUGGUCCGCCGCUCNACGCGGGGCGCUGGUCNGCGUGGGCUUCCCGGCGGGACAAAAGUCGGCCUUUUGUGGCCGGCCGAUGCCNUCCAAGAAGCCCAGGAAACUGAANUGCGCGCCCUCCCUUGGGGAGGGUUCCGUCGGGAGUACCUGCGCACUCGAGACGCCGGCGUAGUGGGCUUUUCAUCCGACCCGUCUUGAAACACGGACCAAGGAGUNUAACAUGCAUGCGAGCCGGUGGGNGGCAAACCCACGUGAGAGGCGAAAAUAAAUUGACAGGUGUGAUCCUCCUGGCGGGGUGCAACAUCGACCGACCAUGAUCUUNUGUGAAAGGUUCGAGUAAGAGCAUGCCUGUUGGGACCCGAAAGAUGGUGAACUAUGCCUGAGCAGGGCGAAGUCAGAGGAAACUCUGGUGGAGGCUCGUAGCGAUACUGACGUGCAAAUCGUUCGUCAGACUCGGGUAUAGGGGCGAAAGACUAAUCGAACCAUCUAGUAGCUGGUUCCCUCCGAAGUUUCCCUCAGGAUAGCUGGAGCACGAAGGAGUUUCAUC
Molecule: ribosomal RNA, 966 nt
Filed under: Reboulia hemisphaerica
Lineage: Eukaryota; Viridiplantae; Streptophyta; Marchantiopsida; Marchantiales; Aytoniaceae
Description: eukaryotic LSU rRNA
Rfam family: Eukaryotic large subunit ribosomal RNA
Source: RNAcentral